RNAcentral lists this long non-coding RNA (322 nucleotides) under Ananas comosus (pineapple). Its description in RNAcentral is "long non-coding RNA (ACOM_LNC010067)". Lineage: Eukaryota; Viridiplantae; Streptophyta; Magnoliopsida; Poales; Bromeliaceae. The record is from RNAcentral.
GCAAAUUAGAAGAAAAGGAAUAGAGAUUCUUUCAGAGAAGGAGAUCGAAAUUCAAGAGAAUCUGACAGAUCUAAUGACUCGGGGAGGUCGCGUAAUACGCCAGCUACUCGUGGUGGACAACUAAAUCGAGAUCAGAAGCUGAAAUGUUCAGUUUGUGGUAGAUGGCAUAAGGAUUCGGAUUGGAGGCACAUCACUGGUGGUUGUUUCAGAUGUGGAGAUUUGAACCAUCGGAUAGCUCAGUGCCCCCUGCUUAGCAUUGAUGCUAGUACUGGAUCCAAGCCUCAAGAGAAAUCUACUGCUUCAGCCGAUUGUGAUCAUAUCC